GUUUGAUCCUGGCUCACCCCGAACGCUGGCGGCGUGCUUAACACAUGCAAGUCGAGCGCAAAGGCCCCUUCGGGGGUACUCGAGCGGCGAACGGGUGAGUAACACGUGGGUAACCUGCCCUUGGCUUUGGGAUAACCUCGGGAAAUCGGGGCUAAUACCGAAUAUGACACGCGACCGCAUGGUCUGUGUGUGGAAAGAUUUUUCGGCUGAGGAUGGACUCGCGGCCUAUCAGCUUGUUGGUGGGGUAAUGGCCUACCAAGGCAUCGAUGGGUAGCUGGUCUGAGAGGACGAUCAGCCACACUGGGACUGAGACACGGCCCAGACUCCUACGGGAGGCAGCAGUGGGGAAUCUUGCGCAAUGCGCGAAAGCGUGACGCAGCAACGCCGCGUGGGGGAAGACGGCCUUCGGGUUGUAAACCCCUUUCAGGAGGGACGAAGGUUCGCCGGUGAAUAGCCGUGUGGAUUGACGGUACCUCCAGAAGAAGCUCCGGCUAACUACGUGCCAGCAGCCGCGGUAAUACGUAGGGAGCAAGCGUUGUCCGGAAUCAUUGGGCGUAAAGCGCGCGUAGGCGGCCCUGUAAGUCCGUUGUGAAAGUCAAAGGCUCAACCUUUGAAAGCCGAUGGAUACUGCAGGGCUAGAGUCCGGAAGAGGCGAGUGGAAUUCCUGGUGUAGCGGUGGAAUGCGCAGAUAUCAGGAGGAACACCAAUAGCGAAGGCAGCUCGCUGGGACGGUACUGACGCUAAGGCGCGAAAGCGUGGGGGGCGAACAGGAUUAGAUACCCUGGUAGUCCACGCCGUAAACGAUGGGCACUAGGUGUGGGAGGUGUCGACUCCUCCCGUGCCGUCGCUAACGCACUAAGUGCCCCGCCUGGGGAGUACGGCCGCAAGGCUAAAACUCAAAGGAAUUGACGGA
This 913-nucleotide ribosomal RNA is filed under the name uncultured bacterium. Its description in RNAcentral is "bacterial SSU rRNA". It matches the Rfam family "Bacterial small subunit ribosomal RNA", at positions 11 to 917 of the family's 1533-position model. The record is from RNAcentral.